Molecule: ribosomal RNA, 2105 nt
Filed under: Agathobacter rectalis
Lineage: Bacteria; Bacillati; Bacillota; Clostridia; Lachnospirales; Lachnospiraceae
Description: bacterial LSU rRNA
Rfam family: Bacterial large subunit ribosomal RNA
Source: RNAcentral
ACGCAGACCCGAAACCGGGUGAUCUAUCCAUGUCCAGGUUGAAGUUGUCGUAAAAGACAAUGGAGGACCGAAGCCACAUCCGUUGAAAAGGGUGGGCAUGAGGUGUGGAUAGGGGAGAAAUUCCAAUCGAACCCGGAGAUAGCUGGUUCUCCUCGAAAUAGCUUUAGGGCUAGCCUCGAUUUAGUCUUAUGGAGGUAGAGCACUGAAUUUCCGCGGGGGCGUCAAAGCUUACCAAAGAAUAUCAAACUCCGAAUGCCAUGUAGAUGAUGAUCGGGAGUCAGACUGCACGAGAUAAGUUGGGCAGUCAAAAGGGAAAGAGCCCAGACCACCGGCUAAGGUCCCAAAGUGCGUGUUAAGUGGAAAAGGAUGUGGGAAUUCGAAGACAACUAGGAUGUUGGCUCAGAAGCAGCCAUACAUUCAAAGAGUGCGUAACAGCUCACUAGUCGAGAGUUCCUGCGCCGAAAAUGUCCGGGGCUGAAACACGACACCGAAGCCGUGGACUCGCAAUGCGAGUGGUAGAGGAGCAUUCUUAAAACCGACGAAGCUGUACCGAAAGGAGCAGUGGAGGGAUAAGAAGAGAGAAUGCCGGAAUGAGUAGCGAGAGAAAGGUGGGAAUCCUUUCGGCCGAAUAUCUAAGGUUUCCAGAGUAAAGCUGAUCUGCUCUGGGUAAGUCGGGGCCUAAGCACAGGUCGCAAGACGUAAGCGAUGGAUAACAGGUUUAGAUUCCUGUACCACGCAUUAUCAGAACUGUAGGGACGCAUGUGGAAAGCACGAGCCGGGAAUGGAAAGACCGGUACAAGCGGGGUAGGUGUACAAUAGGCAAAUCCGUUGUAUAAUCCGAAGACGUGAUGUGGAGCGAAAUAAAGUAGUGAAGCGUGUGAGCCAUGUGCCGAGAAAAGCUGCUAUUGUGUAAUGCGUGCCCGUACCGUAAACCGACACAGGUGGAUGAGGAGAGAAUCCUAAGGCCGACGGAAGAAGCAUUGUUAAGGAAUUCGGCAAAAUGACCCCGUAACUUCGGGAGAAGGGGUGCCUGCGAGAGCAGGCCGCAGAGAAUAGGCUCAAGCAACUGUUUAGCAAAAACACAGGUCUAUGCGAAACCGAAAGGUGAAGUAUAUGGGCUGACGCCUGCCCGGUGCUGGAAGGUUAAGAGGAGAGGUUAGCGUAAGCGAAGCUUUGAAUUUAAGCCCCAGUAAACGGCGGCCGUAACUAUAACGGUCCUAAGGUAGCGAAAUUCCUUGUCGGGUAAGUUCCGACCCGCACGAAAGGCGUAAUGAUUUGAGCACUGUCUCGACAAUGCAUCCGGUGAAAUUGAAGUACCAGUGAAGAUGCUGGUUACCCGCGCCAGGACGGAAAGACCCCAUGGAGCUUUACUCCAGUUUGAUACUGGGAUUCGGUACUGCAUGUACAGGAUAGGUGGGAGACGAAGAAGGAUGGACGCCAGUCUGUCCGGAGUCGCUGUUGGGAUACCACCCCUGUAGUACUGGGUUUCUAACCAGUUGCCAUGAACUGGCAAUGGGACAAUGUCAGGCGGGGAGUUUGACUGGGGCGGUCGCCUCCGAAAGGGUAUCGGAGGCGCUCAAAGGUUCCCUCAGAAUGGUUGGAAACCAUUUGAAGAGUGCAAAGGCAGAAGGGAGCUUGACUGCGACACCGACGGGUGGAGCAGGUACGAAAGUAGGACUUAGUGAUCCGGUGGUAUAAAGUGGGAUUGCCAUCGCUCAACGGAUAAAAGCUACCCUGGGGAUAACAGGCUUAUCACUCCCAAGAGUUCACAUCGACGGAGUGGUUUGGCACCUCGAUGUCGGCUCAUCGCAUCCUGGGGCUGUAGCAGGUCCCAAGGGUUGGGCUGUUCGCCCAUUAAAGCGGUACGCGAGCUGGGUUCAGAACGUCGUGAGACAGUUCGGUCCCUAUCCGGCGCGGGCGGAGGAUAUUUGAGAGGAGCUGUCCUUAGUACGAGAGGACCGGGAUGGACGGACCACUGGUGUAUCUGUUGUCGACCAACGGCAUGGCAGAGUAGCCAAGUCUGGAAGGGAUAAACGCUGAAGGCAUCUAAGCGUGAAGCCCCCCUCAAGAUGAGAUAUCCCUCCUUCGGGAGUAAGACCCCUUGA